Molecule: ribosomal RNA, 121 nt
Filed under: Trygonorrhina guanerius (southern fiddler ray)
Lineage: Eukaryota; Metazoa; Chordata; Chondrichthyes; Rhinopristiformes; Rhinobatidae
Description: partial 16S ribosomal RNA
Source: RNAcentral
CGAGAAGACCCUGUGGAGCUUAAAACACCUAAGUUAAUUAUUCUAAAACCUAAACAUCCAAGGAUAUAAACAUAAUAUUAAUAAACCUAACUUAACUUGUUUUUGGUUGGGGCGACCCAGG